GGGGUUGUGGCUCAGUGGUAGAGCACUUGCCUAGCACGCACGAGACACUGGGUUCAAUCCUCAGCACCA
This 69-nucleotide transfer RNA is filed under the name Ictidomys tridecemlineatus (thirteen-lined ground squirrel). Its description in RNAcentral is "Spermophilus tridecemlineatus (thirteen-lined ground squirrel) tRNA". It matches the Rfam family "tRNA". From Rfam's summary of the family: Transfer RNA (tRNA) molecules are approximately 80 nucleotides in length. Their secondary structure includes four short double-helical elements and three loops (D, anti-codon, and T loops). Further hydrogen bonds mediate the characteristic L-shaped molecular structure. tRNAs have two regions of fundamental functional importance: the anti-codon, which is responsible for specific mRNA codon recognition, and the 3' end, to which the tRNAs corresponding amino acid is attached (by aminoacyl-tRNA synthetases). tRNAs cope with the degeneracy of the genetic code in two manners: having more than one tRNA (with a specific anti-codon) for a particular amino acid; and 'wobble' base-pairing, i.e. permitting non-standard base-pairing at the 3rd anti-codon position. The record is from Rfam by way of RNAcentral. Lineage: Eukaryota; Metazoa; Chordata; Mammalia; Rodentia; Sciuridae.